Molecule: ribosomal RNA, 253 nt
Filed under: uncultured bacterium
Lineage: Bacteria
Description: partial 16S ribosomal RNA
Rfam family: Bacterial small subunit ribosomal RNA
Source: RNAcentral
UACAGAGGUCUCAAGCGUUGUUCGGAAUUACUGGGCGUAAAGCGCGUGUAGGCGGUUAUCCAAGUCGGGUGUGAAAGCCUUGAGCUCAACUCAAGAAAUGCACUCGGUACUGGGUGACUAGAGGACCGGAGAGGAUAGUGGAAUUCCCAGUGUAGUGGUGAAAUACGUAGAGAUUGGGAAGAACACCAGUGGCGAAGGCGGCUAUCUGGACGGUUUCUGACGCUAAGACGCGAAAGCGUGGGGAGCAAACAGG